GCCCCGGUCGUAUAGCCAGGUCAGCCCUGCGGGGGCCUAAAGUAUACUGGCCUUUCGAGCCAGAGACCCGGGUUCAAAUCCCGGCCGGGGCA
RNAcentral lists this transfer RNA (92 nucleotides) under Thermofilum sp. ex4484_79. Its description in RNAcentral is "tRNA-Glu". It matches the Rfam family "tRNA". From Rfam's summary of the family: Transfer RNA (tRNA) molecules are approximately 80 nucleotides in length. Their secondary structure includes four short double-helical elements and three loops (D, anti-codon, and T loops). RNAcentral also lists the same sequence under 2 other names. The record is from RNAcentral. Lineage: Archaea; Thermoproteati; Thermoproteota; Thermoprotei; Thermofilales; Thermofilaceae.